GGUCAGUGAUGUGAUGUAAAAGGUCUGAAGCUCAGAUCCCCCCCUUUGGUCAGUUUAGCUCCCAGCAGCCCCUGCUCUCUGCUUCCAUCAUGCUCUAGUGGUGCAGUGGUGGUCCCAGGAGCUGCUGACAGACAGGAUGUGACAUCACAAUAUGCUGAGUCUGUACAGAGCUGCCACAGGCUCAGUGUGAUGACUGACAUCCAACAGAACCAACCAGCACGGAGCAUCAGGCCGAGGAGGCGGGGCCUGAGUGCUGAUCUCACUCUUCUACUGAGACC
This is a non-coding RNA of Scatophagus argus, 278 nucleotides long. RefSeq annotates it as small Cajal body-specific RNA 6. The transcript has a single exon. The record is from RefSeq and is a predicted model, not a curated record. NCBI's taxonomy places the organism in Eukaryota, Metazoa, Chordata, Actinopteri, Scatophagidae.